UGCAAGUCGAACGAACUCUGGUAUUGAUUGGUGCUUGCAUCAUGAUUUACAUUUGAGUGAGUGGCGAACUGGUGAGUAACACGUGGGAAACCUGCCCAGAAGCGGGGGAUAACACCUGGAAACAGAUGCUAAUACCGCAUAACAACUUGGACCGCAUGGUCCGAGUUUGAAAGAUGGCUUCGGCUAUCACUUUUGGAUGGUCCCGCGGCGUAUUAGCUAGAUGGUGGGGUAACGGCUCACCAUGGCAAUGAUACGUAGCCGACCUGAGAGGGUAAUCGGCCACAUUGGGACUGAGACACGGCCCAAACUCCUACGGGAGGCAGCAGUAGGGAAUCUUCCACAAUGGACGAAAGUCUGAUGGAGCAACGCCGCGUGAGUGAAGAAGGGUUUCGGCUCGUAAAACUCUGUUGUUAAAGAAGAACAUAUCUGAGAGUAACUGUUCAGGUAUUGACGGUAUUUAACCAGAAAGCCACGGCUAACUACGUGCCAGCAGCCGCGGUAAUACGUAGGUGGCAAGCGUUGUCCGGAUUUAUUGGGCGUAAAGCGAGCGCAGGCGGUUUUUUAAGUCUGAUGUGAAAGCCUUCGGCUCAACCGAAGAAGUGCAUCGGAAACUGGGAAACUUGAGUGCAGAAGAGGACAGUGGAACUCCAUGUGUAGCGGUGAAAUGCGUAGAUAUAUGGAAGAACACCAGUGGCGAAGGCGGCUGUCUGGUCUGUAACUGACGCUGAGGCUCGAAAGUAUGGGUAGCAAACAGGAUUAGAUACCCUGGUAGUCCAUACCGUAAACGAUGAAUGCUAAGUGUUGGAGGGUUUCCGCCCUUCAGUGCUGCAGCUAACGCAUUAAGCAUUCCGCCUGGGGAGUACGGCCGCAAGGCUGAAACUCAAAGGAAUUGACGGGGGCCCGCACAAGCGGUGGAGCAUGUGGUUUAAUUCGAAGCUACGCGAAGAACCUUACCAGGUCUUGACAUACUAUGCAAAUC
Molecule: ribosomal RNA, 979 nt
Filed under: Lactiplantibacillus plantarum
Lineage: Bacteria; Bacillati; Bacillota; Bacilli; Lactobacillales; Lactobacillaceae
Description: bacterial SSU rRNA
Rfam family: Bacterial small subunit ribosomal RNA
Source: RNAcentral